Long non-coding RNA from Nerophis ophidion (straightnose pipefish), 761 nucleotides. RefSeq lists it as uncharacterized. The record is from RefSeq and is a predicted model, not a curated record. NCBI's taxonomy places the organism in Eukaryota, Metazoa, Chordata, Actinopteri, Syngnathiformes, Syngnathidae. The transcript has 2 exons.
UUACAUACAUCAUACAUACAUACAUUUUCUACCGCUUAUUCCUUUUGGGGUCGCUGGUGCCUAUCUCAGCUACAAUCGGUCAGAAGGCGGGCUACACCUUGGACAAGUCGCCACCUCAUCACAGGGCCAACACAGAUAGACAGACAACAUUCACACUCACAUUCACACACUAGGGCCAAUUUAGUGUUGCCAAUAAACCUAUCCCCAAUCAACUAGGUAUGUAUUGAGUUACAUGUAAAUGAUGCUACUAUGUACAUUCAUAAUAUGGUUUCUCUCAUUUCAGAAAGAAAGAAGCCAGCAUUAGCGACUUGGUAGAAAGGAAGGUGUGCACACCAAAGCAAGCGGCUGCAUUGACUGAUACUAUCCUGAAUAUGUUGUACCCAUUUUACCAAACUGAUGGAGAGGAGGUACAAGCAGACAUUCCAAGCAGUGUAGACUGACAUAAAAGCCACCCAGAGAAAAUUGCUCUCACUACUGAUGUGUGGACAAGUGCAGCCUACCUUGGCAAUACAUGCCAUUACAUUGGAGAAGAAUGGAACAUGAAGUCAAUCUGCCUCAGACCACACCACUAGAGGAGACAUUCAGCAUCCAACAUUGCAGAGUGGUUAGAAUAAGUAGUAGCCAAGUUUGAAAUUCCCCUAUGCAAAAUUAUUGCUAUUGUGCAUGACAUUGGUGCACUUAAAAAAACAACAACAACAUUUUUGUAACAUUUGCCUUAUUUUAUUUGGCAAGUUGAACAUGGUGCCAGUAUGCGUUUUUCC